ACGUUAGCGGCGGACGGGUGAGUAACACGUGGGUAACCUACCUAUAAGACUGGGAUAACUUCGGGAAACCGGAGCUAAUACCGGAUAAUAUUUCGAACCGCAUGGUUCGAUAGUGAAAGAUGGUUUUGCUAUCACUUAUAGAUGGACCCGCGCCGUAUUAGCUAGUUGGUAAGGUAACGGCUUACCAAGGCGACGAUACGUAGCCGACCUGAGAGGGUGAUCGGCCACACUUGAACUGAGACACGGCCCAGACUCCUACGGGAGGCAGCAGCU
This 273-nucleotide ribosomal RNA is filed under the name uncultured Staphylococcus sp. Its description in RNAcentral is "partial 16S ribosomal RNA". It matches the Rfam family "Bacterial small subunit ribosomal RNA", at positions 89 to 355 of the family's 1533-position model. Lineage: Bacteria; Bacillati; Bacillota; Bacilli; Caryophanales; Staphylococcaceae. The record is from RNAcentral.